GGUACAUAACACCAUUUUCAACCAAUGUUCAUUACUUGCAUUGGUGUAACAAGUUAGUGAUUCCGAUAGUUAUGAUCCACAACGCGACGAUGCUGACUGAACUUCCUCCUGUGUAUGCAUUCAGUACCAUAGGCGCUAUGAUAUCGAUCAAGUUUAUGGAAGCUAUCGUGUUCACAGGUG
Non-coding RNA from Dermacentor andersoni, 180 nucleotides. The record is from RefSeq and is a predicted model, not a curated record. NCBI's taxonomy places the organism in Eukaryota, Metazoa, Arthropoda, Arachnida, Ixodida, Ixodidae.